CCAGAUUGAAUGUAUAAAUUAUUCCGAUAUUUUAUAUUGCUCUGUUUAUCAUCCGGGUUAUUAGGAAAAAUGACAGACUUUAAGUACGCUGCCGAACUGAUUGAGACUGCACGUGGUAUUGCUUCCGCGGGAAAGGGAAUUCUAGCAGCCGAUGAAUCAACCGGCACCAUCGGUCAAAGAUUC
This 183-nucleotide non-coding RNA is filed under the name uncultured Mallomonas. Lineage: Eukaryota; Synurophyceae; Synurales; Mallomonadaceae. The record is from RNAcentral.